RNAcentral lists this ribosomal RNA (439 nucleotides) under uncultured bacterium. RNAcentral describes it as "partial 16S ribosomal RNA". It matches the Rfam family "Bacterial small subunit ribosomal RNA", at positions 339 to 795 of the family's 1533-position model. The record is from RNAcentral.
CUACGGGACGCACCAGUGAGGAAUAUUGCACAAUGGAGGAAACUCUGAUGCAGCAACGCCGCGUGGAGGAUGACGCAUUUCGGUGUGUAAACUCCUUUUAUAUGUCAAGAAAAUGACGGUAGCAUAUGAAUAAGCACCGGCUAACUCCGUGCCAGCAGCCGCGGUAAUACGGAGGGUGCAAGCGUUACUCGGAAUCACUGGGCGUAAAGGACGCGUAGGCGGGAUAUCAAGUCAGGUGUGAAAUCCUACAGCUUAACUGUAGAACUGCACUUGAAACUGGUAACCUAGAGUAUGGGAGGGGGAGAUGGAAUUAGUGGUGUAGGGGUAAAAUCCGUAGAUAUCACUAGGAAUACCUAAAGCGAAGGCGAUCUCCUGGAACAUAACUGACGCUAAGGCGUGAAAGCGUGGGGAGCAAACAGGAUUAGAUACCCGGGUAGUC